GCUGACGAGUGGCGGACGGGUGAGUAAUGUCUGGGAAACUGCCUGAUGGAGGGGGAUAACUACUGGAAACGGUGGCUAAUACCGCAUAACGUCGCAAGACCAAAGAGGGGGACCUUCGGGCCUCUUGCCAUCAGAUGUGCCCAGAUGGGAUUAGCUUGUUGGUGAGGUAACGGCUCACCAAGGCGACGAUCCCUAGCUGGUCUGAGAGGAUGACCAGCCACACUGGAACUGAGACACGGUCCAGACUCCUACGGGAGGCAGCAGUGGGGAAUAUUGCACAAUGGGCGCAAGCCUGAUGCAGCCAUGCCGCGUGUAUGAAGAAGGCCUU
RNAcentral lists this ribosomal RNA (328 nucleotides) under Salmonella enterica. RNAcentral's name for it is "bacterial SSU rRNA". It matches the Rfam family "Bacterial small subunit ribosomal RNA", at positions 87 to 418 of the family's 1533-position model. The record is from RNAcentral. Lineage: Bacteria; Pseudomonadati; Pseudomonadota; Gammaproteobacteria; Enterobacterales; Enterobacteriaceae.